GACGAACGCUGGCGGCGUGCUUAACACAUGCAAGUCGAACGGAAAGGCCCCUUUGGGGGUACUCGAGUGGCGAACGGGUGAGUAACACGUGAGUAACCUGCCCUUGACUUCGGGAUAACUUCAGGAAACUGGGGCUAAUACCGGUUAGGAAUCCUUGCUGCAUGGGGGGGGUUGGAAAGCUUCGGGGGCUUUGGGUGGGUUGGCGGCUUAUCGGCUUGUUGGUGGGGUAGUGGGUUACCAAGCCAUGGACGGGACGCGGGCCUGUGGGGGCGAGCGGCCACAUUGAGACUGACAGACGGCCGAGACUCCUACGGGAGGAAGAAGUGGGGAAUCUUGCACAAGGGGCGGAGGCCGGAUGCAGCAGCGCCGCGGGCGGGAUGGCGGCCUUCGGGUUGUAGACCGCUUUCAGCAGGGGCGAAGCUUGUGGUGACGGUACCUGCAGAAGAAGCACCGGCUAACUACGUG
This 465-nucleotide ribosomal RNA is filed under the name uncultured bacterium. RNAcentral describes it as "partial 16S ribosomal RNA". It matches the Rfam family "Bacterial small subunit ribosomal RNA", at positions 28 to 507 of the family's 1533-position model. The record is from RNAcentral.